This 301-nucleotide ribosomal RNA is filed under the name uncultured bacterium. Its description in RNAcentral is "partial 16S ribosomal RNA". It matches the Rfam family "Bacterial small subunit ribosomal RNA", at positions 509 to 807 of the family's 1533-position model. The record is from RNAcentral.
CAGCCGCCACGGGAAUACAGAGGGUGCAAGCGUUAAUCGGAAUUACUGGGCGUAAAGCGCGCGUAGGUGGUUCGCCAAGUUGGAUGUGAAAUCCCCGGGCUCAACCUGGGAACUGCAUCCAAAACUGGCGAGCUAGAGUAUGGUAGAGGGUGGUGGAAUUUCCUGUGUAGCGGUGAAAUGCGUAGAUAUAGGAAGGAACAUCAGUGGCGAAGGCGACCACCUGGACUGAUACUGACACUGAGGUGCGAAAGCGUGGGGAGCAAACAGGAUUAGAUACUCCAGUAGUCCCUGUCUCUUAUAC